Molecule: long non-coding RNA, 1055 nt
Filed under: Salmo salar (Atlantic salmon)
Lineage: Eukaryota; Metazoa; Chordata; Actinopteri; Salmoniformes; Salmonidae
Description: lncRNA (ENSSSAG00000109043.1, ENSSSAG00020074036.1, ENSSSAG00075053680.1)
Source: RNAcentral
GAAUGGCUCACAGUCAUAAUAAGUUGCUGAGGCCAUCUAGUGGUGGCACAUUUGAUUAAGAGCGGAAUUGCCAAUUCAGCCUACCAGGUUUUUGAAGAACAAGUGGAUGGAGUUCCUCUUCUCCAGCCUCUUAGGGAGGACGGGGGAAUUGUCUCCACCCUCGGAGGGUCCUGAUGCUGGCUUGCUGUCCACAGCAGGGAUCUCUGGGGCCUUUGGUUCUUCCUUGGCCACACUUGGGCCAGCUACGGCUUCUGCAGCUGGGGCUGGGGCUUCCUUUUUGGGCUCAGAAGCCUGAUUGAAUUACGACAAAUAAUGAAAAGAUACAUUUCUGAGUGUCAUUUUUAUCAUGUAAUGUUAAUCGUAAAGCCAUUACUCGGUCCAAAGCUGUAUUAUGACGUUGCCUCCUUUCUCUCACCAGGUAAAGCUGAGCCCACACAUUAAUACAUUAACUAGCACAAUACAAGAGCACAAUUGACGCAAUGAAAUAAUGACUAGAUUAAUGAGAGCAUUGUUCUGUUUGGUAAAGAUAUAAUUUAUAGAAAUUAGAAAUGGAAAACUAUCACUAGUCUAACCAACUGUUUUUGGAUAAUGUGUAUGCAACAGAUAUCAAUUGAUCUACCAAAUAAUGUACACUAUUUGUGCAAGAUAUUUCAAUAUGGUAGUACCAGCAUAAGCUGAACUCAGUGAGAUCACUCUUGUUAAUUUCACACUGGCCGUCAGGAAUGCUCAUUUACCCCUUUGAAAGGUUUCUUGAGGAGUCGGACUCCACUUGUUGAAGCCGUCUGGACUUUUGAAGCCAUUUGGUUUAGCAGGUCCUCAAAUUCACAUCAUUCCGUUAUUGUUUAUCACAUUUGCACAUUUUCCUGUCUUUCCAAAAUAACUAGCAUGUGUAGUUCCCGUUGAGAACCAAAGUGGGAUGUAAGUAGAAUAUCUGCCUUACCUUGGGCUUGAAAAGAGAAAAGGAGGUUUUGGCUACAGCCGGUUUCUUCCCCUCUUUCGGUGCAGUUGUUGCUGUUGGUUGGGCCUCUUUCUGUGACUGUUUUGUGACAACAACA